Molecule: ribosomal RNA, 465 nt
Filed under: Vreelandella stevensii
Lineage: Bacteria; Pseudomonadati; Pseudomonadota; Gammaproteobacteria; Oceanospirillales; Halomonadaceae
Description: partial 16S ribosomal RNA
Rfam family: Bacterial small subunit ribosomal RNA
Source: RNAcentral
CCUACGGGGGGCAGCAGUGGGGAAUAUUGGACAAUGGGCGAAAGCCUGAUCCAGCCAUGCCGCGUGUGUGAAGAAGGCCUUCGGGUUGUAAAGCACUUUCAGUGGGGAAGAAAGCCUUGGGGCUAAUACCCUCGAGGAAGGACAUCACCCACAGAAGAAGCACCGGCUAACUCCGUGCCAGCAGCCGCGGUAAUACGGAGGGUGCGAGCGUUAAUCGGAAUUACUGGGCGUAAAGCGCGCGUAGGCGGUCUGAUAAGCCGGUUGUGAAAGCCCCGGGCUCAACCUGGGAACGGCAUCCGGAACUGUCAGGCUAGAGUGCAGGAGAGGAAGGUAGAAUUCCCGGUGUAGCGGUGAAAUGCGUAGAGAUCGGGAGGAAUACCAGUGGCGAAGGCGGCCUUCUGGACUGACACUGACGCUGAGGUGCGAAAGCGUGGGUAGCAAACCGGAUUAGAUACCCGUGUAGUC